RNAcentral lists this ribosomal RNA (253 nucleotides) under uncultured bacterium. Its description in RNAcentral is "partial 16S ribosomal RNA". It matches the Rfam family "Bacterial small subunit ribosomal RNA", at positions 524 to 776 of the family's 1533-position model. The record is from RNAcentral.
UACGUAGGCAGCGAGCGUUGUUCGGAAUUACUGGGCGUAAAGAGUGUGUAGGCGGUGCUCUAAGUUCGGUGUGAAAUCUCCUGGCUUAACUGGGAGGGUGCGCCGGAAACUGGAGUGCUUGAGCGUGGGAGAGGAAAGCGGAAUUCCUGGUGUAGCGGUGAAAUGCGUAGAUAUCAGGAGGAACACCUGUGGUGUAGGCGGCUUUCUGGACCAUUGCUGACGCUGAGACACGAAAGCGUGGGUAGCAAACAGG